AGGAUUAACGCUGGCGGCGUGCAUGAAACAUGCAAGUCGAGCGCGGUGUGAUGCGGGGUAACCCAAUUCACAUCUAGCGGCGAACGGGUGAGUAACACGUGAGCAACCUACCUUUGAGUUGGGGAUAGCCCUGGGAAACCAGGAUUAAUACCCGAUGUGGUCACAACAGGACAUCCUGAUGUGAGUAAAGGCGUAAGCCGCUCAAUGACGGGCUCGCGGCCUAUUAGCUUGUUGGUGGGGUAACGGCCUACCAAGGCGAUGAUGGGUAGCUGGUCUGAGAGGACGAUCAGCCACACUGGGACUGAGACACGGCCCAGACUCCUACGGGAGGCAGCAGUGGGGAAUAUUGCACAAUGGGCGCAAGCCUGAUGCAGCGACGCCGCGUGGGGGAUGAAGGCCUUCGGGUUGUAACCCUUUCACCAGGAGCGAAUCAGACGGUACCUGGGAAGAGCGCGGCUAACUACGUGCCAGCAGCCG
This 477-nucleotide ribosomal RNA is filed under the name uncultured bacterium. RNAcentral describes it as "SSU rRNA". It matches the Rfam family "Bacterial small subunit ribosomal RNA", at positions 26 to 517 of the family's 1533-position model. The record is from RNAcentral.